CAGGCUGCAACGCCGGCGGCGGCGUCGGCCGGAAAGGCCCCGACGGCGGCCCAUCCAACCGUCAGGAUUGAUCACCCCCACCGAUAGAUGCAUCUAGCCCAAUCUUGAUCAUGUAGUCGCAAUAAUCUCGAUUUUGUAGUUGCAUAUUGCAAAGCCUCUCCAUUUCCAGCACAAAAAACUUUGCUACUGUUGGUUAAUCAAAAUACCGUUCUGUUAAUCAAUCUGUAGUUCAUAUCAACUAAAUUAGCCAGCAUAAUCUCAUCUAAUUACAGUACUUAUCAAGGGCUAAUUACUGUUAAUUAAUUUCUCGUGUAAUUAAUUAGUUAGGAC
RNAcentral lists this long non-coding RNA (330 nucleotides) under Oryza brachyantha (malo sina). RNAcentral describes it as "long non-coding RNA (OBRA_LNC001414)". The record is from RNAcentral. Lineage: Eukaryota; Viridiplantae; Streptophyta; Magnoliopsida; Poales; Poaceae.